Molecule: ribosomal RNA, 463 nt
Filed under: uncultured Streptomycetaceae bacterium
Lineage: Bacteria; Bacillati; Actinomycetota; Actinomycetes; Kitasatosporales; Streptomycetaceae
Description: bacterial SSU rRNA
Rfam family: Bacterial small subunit ribosomal RNA
Source: RNAcentral
GACGAACGCUGGCGGCGUGCUUAACACAUGCAAGUCGAACGGUGAAGCCCUUCGGGGUGGAUCAGUGGCGAACGGGUGAGUAACACGUGGGCAAUCUGCCCUGCACUCUGGGACAAGCCCUGGAAACGGGGUCUAAUACCGGAUACGACUCGGGAGCGCAUGUCCCCGGGUGGAAAGCUCCGGCGGUGCAGGAUGAGCCCGCGGCCUAUCAGCUUGUUGGUGGGGUGAUGGCCUACCAAGGCGACGACGGGUAGCCGGCCUGAGAGGGCGACCGGCCACACUGGGACUGAGACACGGCCCAGACUCCUACGGGAGGCAGCAGUGGGGAAUAUUGCACAAUGGGCGCAAGCCUGAUGCAGCGACGCCGCGUGAGGGAUGACGGCCUUCGGGUUGUAAACCUCUUUCAGCAGGGAAGAAGCGUGAGUGACGGUACCUGCAGAAGAAGCACCGGCUAACUACGUGC